Molecule: ribosomal RNA, 300 nt
Filed under: uncultured Colwelliaceae bacterium
Lineage: Bacteria; Pseudomonadati; Pseudomonadota; Gammaproteobacteria; Alteromonadales; Colwelliaceae
Description: bacterial SSU rRNA
Rfam family: Bacterial small subunit ribosomal RNA
Source: RNAcentral
UGCUUGGGAAUAUGCCUUAUGGUGGGGGACAACAGUUGGAAACGACUGCUAAUACCGCAUAAUGUCUACGGACCAAAGAGGGGGAUCUUCGGACCUCUCGCCAUUUGAUUAGCCCAAGUGAGAUUAGCUAGUUGGUAAGGUAAUGGCUUACCAAGGCGACGAUCUCUAGCUGGUUUGAGAGGAUGAUCAGCCACACUGGGACUGAGACACGGCCCAGACUCCUACGGGAGGCAGCAGUGAGGAAUAUUGGGCAAUGGAGGUAACUCUGACCCAGCCAUGCCGCGUGCAGGAAGACUGCCC